Molecule: long non-coding RNA, 218 nt
Organism: Leopardus geoffroyi (Geoffroy's cat)
Lineage: Eukaryota; Metazoa; Chordata; Mammalia; Carnivora; Felidae
Exons: 3
Source: RefSeq, a predicted model, not a curated record
AGGGAUGCCUGGCAACAGGAAUGUCACGUGAUCACAAGUGAGCCAGUGGUUCUUGAACUUCUCUUUGAUAUACAGGUGCUUUGGAUUACACGCAUGUUGCUGGAAUGACUUAUGCUCACAAACCAAGGUUUUAUUGUAUAUUCAAAGAAGGAAACGAAGUUUGGAGAGUCAUUGGUUCUUUGACAGUGACUGUGACAGAAUGAAGAUAGGACUCAGGC